Molecule: ribosomal RNA, 415 nt
Filed under: uncultured prokaryote
Description: bacterial SSU rRNA
Rfam family: Bacterial small subunit ribosomal RNA
Source: RNAcentral
GUGUCAGCAGCCGCGGUAAGACGGAGGGGGCUAGCGUUGUUCGGAAUUACUGGGCGUAAAGGGCGUGUAGGCGGUCGCUCGUGUCGGGCGUUAAAGGCCUGGGCUCAACCUGGGGGCUGCGUUCGAGACUGGGCGGCUGGAGUUCGAGAGGGGGAUGCGGAAUUCCGCGUGUAGCAGUGAAAUGCGUAGAUAUGCGGAGGAACACCUGAGGCGAUGGCGGCAUCCUGGAUCGACACUGACGCUGAGGCCCGAAAGCGUGGGGAGCAAACAGGAUUAGAUACCCUGGUAGUCCACGCCCUAAACGAUGUCUACUAGCCGUUGCGGGUAUCGACCCCUGCAGUGGCGCAGCUAACGCGAUAAGUAGACCGCCUGGGGAGUACGGCCGCAAGGUUAAAACUUAAAUGAAUUGACGGGG